RNAcentral lists this ribosomal RNA (476 nucleotides) under uncultured bacterium. Its description in RNAcentral is "partial 16S ribosomal RNA". It matches the Rfam family "Bacterial small subunit ribosomal RNA", at positions 28 to 523 of the family's 1533-position model. The record is from RNAcentral.
GAUGAACGCUGGCGGCGUGCUUAACACAUGCAAGUCGAGCGAGUGAGUUCUUCGGAACGAUCUAGCGGCGGACGGGUGAGUAACACGUGGGCAACCUGCCUCAUAGAGGGGAAUAGCCUUCCGAAAGGGAGAUUAAUACCGCAUAACAUCGUUGAAGGGCAUCCUUCGAUGAUCAAAGGAGCAAUCCGCUAUGAGAUGGGCCCGCGGCGCAUUAGCUAGUUGGUGAGGUAACGGCUCACCAAGGCGACGAUGCGUAGCCGACCUGAGAGGGUGAUUGGCCACAUUGGGACUGAGACACGGCCCAGACUCCUACGGGAGGCAGCAGUGGGGAAUAUUGCACAAUGGGGGAAACCCUGAUGCAGCAACGCCGCGUGAGUGAUGACGGCCUUCGGGUUGUAAAGCUCUGUCUUUGGGGACGAUAAUGACGGUACCCAAGGAGGAAGUCACGGCUAACUACGUGCCAGCAGCCGCGGUAA